UACAGAGGUCCCAAGCGUUGUUCGGAUUUACUGGGCGUAAAGGGCGCGUAGGCGGCCUGCUAAGUCGGACGUGAAAUCCCUCGGCUCAACCGGGGAACUGCGUCCGAUACUGGUUGGCUUGAAUUCGGGAGAGGGAUGCGGAAUUCCAGGUGUAGCGGUGAAAUGCGUAGAUAUCUGGAGGAACACCGGUGGCGAAGGCGGGUCUCUGGGCAACAACUGACGCUGAGGAGCGAAAGCGUGGGGAGCGAACAGG
RNAcentral lists this ribosomal RNA (253 nucleotides) under uncultured bacterium. Its description in RNAcentral is "partial 16S ribosomal RNA". It matches the Rfam family "Bacterial small subunit ribosomal RNA", at positions 524 to 776 of the family's 1533-position model. The record is from RNAcentral.